CCUACGGGUGGCUGCAGUAGGGAAUCUUCCACAAUGGGCGAAAGCCUGACGCAGCAACGCCGCGUGGGUGAAGAAGGUCUUCGGAUCGUAAAACUCUGUUGUUAGAGAAGAAAGUGCGUGAGAGUAACUGUUCACGUUUCGACGGUACCUAACCAGAAAGCCACGGCUAACUACGUGCCAGCAGCCGCGGUAAUACGUAGGUGGCAAGCGUUAUCCGGAUUUAUUGUGCGUAAAGGGAACGCAGGCGGUCUUUUAAGUCUGAUGUGAAAGCCUUCGGCUUAACCGGGGUAGUGCAUUGGAAACUGGGAGACUUGAGUGCAGAAGAGGAGAGUGGAACUCCAUGUGUAGCGGUGAAAUGCGUAGAUAUAUGGAAGAACACCAGUGGCGAAAGCGGCUAUCUGGUCUGUAACUGACGCUGAGGUUCGAAAGCGUGGGUAGCAAACAGGAUUAGAUACCCCAGUAGUC
RNAcentral lists this ribosomal RNA (465 nucleotides) under uncultured bacterium. RNAcentral's name for it is "partial 16S ribosomal RNA". It matches the Rfam family "Bacterial small subunit ribosomal RNA", at positions 338 to 795 of the family's 1533-position model. The record is from RNAcentral.